ACUCCUACGGGAGGCAGCAGUGGGGAAUAUUGGACAAUGGGCGAAAGCCUGAUCCAGCCAUGCCGCGUGUGUGAAGAAGGCCUUUUGGUUGUAAAGCACUUUAAAGCGAGGAGGAGGCUACUUAGAUUAAUACUCUAGGAUAGUGGACGUUACUCGCAGAAUAAGCACCGGCUAACUCUGUGCCAGCAGCCGCGGUAAUACAGAGGGGUGCGAGCGUUAAUCGGAUUUACUGGGGCGUAAAGCGUGCGUAGGCGGCUUUUUAAGUCGGAUGUGAAAUCCCUGAGCUUAACUUAGGAAUUGCAUUCGAUACUGGGAAGCUAGAGUAUGGGAGAGGAUGGUAGAAUUCCAGGUGUAGCGGUGAAAUGCGUAGAGAUCUGGAGGAAUACCGAUGGCGAAGGCAGCCAUCUGGCCUAAUACUGACGCUGAGGUCGAAAGCGUGGGGAGCAAACAGGAUUAGAUACCCUGGUAGCGACUGA
Molecule: ribosomal RNA, 476 nt
Filed under: uncultured bacterium
Lineage: Bacteria
Description: bacterial SSU rRNA
Rfam family: Bacterial small subunit ribosomal RNA
Source: RNAcentral